ACUUUUAAAGGAUAGCGGUAAUCCAUUGGCCUUAGGAACCACUCACCUUGGUGCAAAUCCAAGUAAAAGUA
This 71-nucleotide transfer RNA is filed under the name Dendrocopos noguchii (Okinawa woodpecker). RNAcentral describes it as "tRNA-Leu". It matches the Rfam family "tRNA". From Rfam's summary of the family: Transfer RNA (tRNA) molecules are approximately 80 nucleotides in length. Their secondary structure includes four short double-helical elements and three loops (D, anti-codon, and T loops). Lineage: Eukaryota; Metazoa; Chordata; Aves; Piciformes; Picidae. The record is from RNAcentral.